RNAcentral lists this non-coding RNA (99 nucleotides) under Paenibacillus darwinianus. Its description in RNAcentral is "Guanine sequence". It matches the Rfam family "Purine riboswitch aptamer". Rfam says of the family: Riboswitches are metabolite binding domains within certain messenger RNAs that serve as precision sensors for their corresponding targets. Allosteric rearrangement of mRNA structure is mediated by ligand binding, and this results in modulation of gene expression. The record is from Rfam by way of RNAcentral. Lineage: Bacteria; Bacillati; Bacillota; Bacilli; Caryophanales; Paenibacillaceae.
UUUCAACAAGCAAAUAGCGAUCGUAUAACCUCACGAAACAGGGUGGGGGUUUCUACGGGAAGCCUUAACUUCCUAACUACGAAUAGCGGAUCAUUCACA